This 497-nucleotide ribosomal RNA is filed under the name uncultured bacterium. RNAcentral's name for it is "partial 16S ribosomal RNA". It matches the Rfam family "Bacterial small subunit ribosomal RNA", at positions 28 to 507 of the family's 1533-position model. The record is from RNAcentral.
GAUGAACGCUGGCGGCGUGCCUAAUACAUGCAAGUCGAGCGAACAGACGCGGAGCUUGCUCCUCUGACGUUAUCGGCGGACGGGUGAGGAACACGUGGAUAACCUACCUAUAAGACUGGGAGAACUUCGGGAAACCGGAGCUAAUACCGGAUAAUAUAUUGAACCGCAUGGUUCAAUAGUGAAAGACGGUUUUGCUGUCACUUAUAGAUGGAUCCGCGCCGCAUUAGCUAGUUGGUAAGGUAACGGCUUACCAAGGCAACGAUGCGUAGCCGACCUGAGAGGGUGAUCGGCCACACUGGAACUGAGACACGGUCCAGACUCCUACGGGAGGCAGCAGUAGGGAAUCUUCCGCAAUGGGCGAAAGCCUGACGGAGCAACGCCGCGUGAGUGAUGAAGGUCUUCGGAUCGUAAAAAUCUGUUAUUAGGGAAGAACAAAUGUGUAAGUAACUAUGCACGUCUUGACGGUACCUAAUCAGAAAGCGACGGCUAACUACGUG